RNAcentral lists this ribosomal RNA (253 nucleotides) under uncultured bacterium. Its description in RNAcentral is "partial 16S ribosomal RNA". It matches the Rfam family "Bacterial small subunit ribosomal RNA", at positions 524 to 776 of the family's 1533-position model. The record is from RNAcentral.
UACGUAGGGGGCAAGCGUUGUCCGGAUUUAUUGGGCGUAAAGAGCGUGUAGGCGGCCAGACCGGUCCGUUGUGAAAACUGGAGGCUCAACCUCCAGACGUCGAUGGAAACCGUCUGGCUAGAGUCCGGAAGAGGAGAGUGGAAUUCCUGGUGUAGCGGUGAAAUGCGCAGAUAUCAGGAAGAACACCCGUGGCGAAAGCGGCUCUCUGGGACGGUACUGACGCUGAGACGCGAAAGCGUGGGGAGCGAACAGG